Molecule: ribosomal RNA, 773 nt
Filed under: uncultured Neocallimastigales
Lineage: Eukaryota; Fungi; Neocallimastigomycota; Neocallimastigomycetes; Neocallimastigales
Description: partial large subunit ribosomal RNA
Rfam family: Eukaryotic large subunit ribosomal RNA
Source: RNAcentral
UAUCUCUGUAGAGUCUGCAUAUCAAUAAGCGGAGGAAAAGAAACUAACUAGGAUUCCCUUAGUAACGGCGAGUGAAGCGGGAAGAGCUCAAAUUUGAAAUCUUCAAGGUUCUACCUUGACGAAUUGUAGUUUAAAGAAGUGUUUUCUGUUGGAAUUUUGGUAAAAGUUCUUUGGAAUAGGACAUCAUAGAGGGUGAGAAUCCCGUAUUUGGUCAUUCCUUCUAGCUUUGUGAUACACUUUCAAAGAGUCGGAUUGUUUGGGAAUGCAGUCCAAAAUGGGUGGUAAAUUUCAUCUAAAGCUAAAUAUUGGCGAGAGACCGAUAGCGAACAAGUACCGUGAGGGAAAGAUGAAAAGAACUUUGAAAAGAGAGUUAAACAGUACGUGAAAUUGUCAAAAGGGAAGCGUUUGACACCAGUGUAGUUUUUCCGAAAAUCAAUUAUGAAUGGCUUGAUUUUAAGUUUCAUGACCUUAAAAGCUUGUUGCUUAUUUUUCAUGUCUUUCGUAAUGCACUUUUCGGUUAACAAGUCAACAUCAAUUUCUUUUGUUGUGAAAGGUUAAGAGGAAGGUGGCUUUACUUUCGGGUAAAGUGUUUAUAGCCUUUUAACUCUGCAAUCGGAGAGAUUGAGGUCUGCAGCGUAGAUCCUUCGGGGUUAGAUACAUUUGUGCUAAGUUAUAGCUUUUCAUAGACAACUUGUUGACUAUGAUAAGUCUUGUAAUUUACUCGCAGAUGCUAUUUUACCUACGCUUAGGAUGUUGAUGUGAUACUGCGAGCA